UCAGAUCAGGUAGGAAUACCCGCUGAACUUAAGCAUAUCAAUAAGCGGAGG
RNAcentral lists this ribosomal RNA (51 nucleotides) under Acremonium sclerotigenum. RNAcentral's name for it is "partial 28S ribosomal RNA". The record is from RNAcentral. Lineage: Eukaryota; Fungi; Ascomycota; Sordariomycetes; Hypocreales; Bionectriaceae.